This is a long non-coding RNA of Mya arenaria, 1681 nucleotides long. RefSeq lists it as uncharacterized. The transcript has 3 exons. The record is from RefSeq and is a predicted model, not a curated record. Lineage: Eukaryota; Metazoa; Mollusca; Bivalvia; Myida; Myidae.
GUUAUGUUUUGACAGAAUGAAAUGAAAAAAAGCCGUCAAACUCAUAAUUAUAAGUUGGAUAUUUAUUUUUUUGUGUACGGAACUAAUAUAAAAUAACAUUAUCUGGUUGGUGUUAGACCGACGGACCGGCAUAAGAACCAACAACGACACUGAAGGCUGCAAACCAGUGAUAAAAGACUUCUGACAAAAGAUCAGAUCGCAGAGUUUCAUAUUUCCGUUCCAAAAUUAAUGUUUUAUGGCUAAAACCGUGACCACUGUGGGGAAACGGACACCGGAUAUAGCUCAAAAAGUGAUAAAUCGAUAAACGUUUGAUUUUGACACAUGAAAAGUUUUCUAUCAUUUUUUUUGUAUUUUAAGGACAAAAGAUCAGAUCGCAGAUUUUCAUAUUUCCGUUCCAAAAUUAAUGUUUUAUGGCUAUGUUUUAUUGUUACGGAGAUAUUCAUACCUUUUGAUGCCCUGGCGGUCUACUGGGGAUAGAUGAAGCAAAUAAAUAACUGCACAGGGGAUAGCUAUUAAGUGGACUGAGGAUAGUAACGAUGUAAUUAGAAUUACGAGACUGUUAUAAUGAUAACGGCCAUUUACCUAUACGCGAGCUCGAGGGAAAUUGUUUGAUGUUGUCCAUAUCGAGGGAUGAGAACAAAAAAAUGUUGCCGUUUUUUGUAUCUGUAUGCACUUAAAACUGAUUCAUUAAUAUAGAUUAGUUAACCAUGAUGUGUUUUUCACAAGCAUCAACGUUCGAGUCGCAAAUAUCUAAAUAUUUUAAAUACGCCGGUAAUCUGAUUUAUUGAGGAACACAAAACAUAUGGACGUAGAAUUUAUGUGGUGUUUGCUAUUCAUAUAUAUAGUAUUGGUUUAUAAAUCAAGUAGGUACGUUUUUGCACACAGAAAGUCAUCGGUAGGGAUUAAUAUAUGAUGAUCAAAUGUGGAACACGUGAAGCUUUUUUCUAAGCUUGGGUCGAUGUUACUAUUACUUAGAACAAAAUAAUGGUCUCUACUCGUUCACUUCAGUGAGAAAGUAUGUGUUGUGACUAACCCUGAUAUUUAAGCAGCUUGCAUAUAUACGUUCAUUUAGGAGGGCAUGGAUCAAACUCAUUGUUAACUAAAGUUUGCUUAAUAAUUUCUCAUAAAAUUGUACUCUCACUUUUUGCAGAUUAUUUGAAAGUUCGAAAUAUACAUACAUGUAUAUUGUAUAUUAACAGUGACUGUUACGAUCAAUUUUUGUCCCAUUUUACAUGUUAUCACUAGGACACGUUUCUCAACUUUGAAACUAUCCCCAGUGCAUAAUACGGCUAUCCCCAGUACAGUACUGUGAACAUUUCUAAGUUUAAAAGUUACAUUGCCAGUUCUUACAAUAAAUAUAGUUGAGAUUAUGCUUGUGAAAUCCUUCGAUUCAGAUUUUUUAUUUAUUCGAUAUAUUUCCUAAAAAUAACAAUACUUGUCGAAACUCUGUUAAUUUUGAGGUGAUCAUCUCAGAUUUGAAGAAACAUUUUUCGAGGUCUGCUAAAUCGUAAGCACUUUAAAGUAUACCAUAGGCCAAAUUUAGCAUUCAGCUAUUACAUGCCGGGUAAUCAUUGGAGCCAUAACAUUUUGUUAUGUGUUUAAAAUACCCCAACGCGUCUUCCGUUAUAGUGCCAAUGAGUGAAAUAUGGAUGUAAACAGUGAGUAUGGUUUUUUUUUUCAU